RNAcentral lists this long non-coding RNA (465 nucleotides) under Helianthus annuus (common sunflower). Lineage: Eukaryota; Viridiplantae; Streptophyta; Magnoliopsida; Asterales; Asteraceae. The record is from RNAcentral.
GGGUAAAGGUGUACGGUCCAGAUGUGAUCACGUUUAUCAAGAAAUGAUCCUAACGGUCCUCAAAAACCUAUAUAUACCCAUUGAAUUUGGCUCUCAUUUGCACCAUUUCCUUCAAAUCUGCUAUGAUCUCUAAUUUUUGAGGGUCUUGAACUCUUUUUGAGAACCUCCUUCAGUUCAUAGGACCUCUUCCGAAAGGUCAAACGUUUCGAUAAACGCUUUGACUUUUAAUCGGUUGAGCCAUGGUACUACGCGUAAUAGGCUGGUCACUCCUUAAGCAUCCAUAGAAGUCUCGCAAGCUUAGGAUGCAUGAAGUCUGUUGAAAUGAAGUUUCCUUUUUAUUUGAUUCUGCCUGUGGAUUCUAUUUCGACAUUUUGUGAUACUCGAAUAUUACAACAAUUUAAGUUGAAAUGAAUCUAUCUUUGCUUCCGCUGUGCAUUAUAAUUUGUGUUGUUUGACUAUGAUGAU